This 253-nucleotide ribosomal RNA is filed under the name uncultured bacterium. RNAcentral describes it as "partial 16S ribosomal RNA". It matches the Rfam family "Bacterial small subunit ribosomal RNA", at positions 524 to 776 of the family's 1533-position model. The record is from RNAcentral.
UACGUAGGGGGCAAGCGUUGUCCGGAAUUAUUGGGCGUAAAGAGCUUGUAGGCGGUUUGUCGCGUCUGCCGUGAAAAUCCGAGGCUCAACCUCGGACUUGCGGUGGGUACGGGCAGACUAGAGUGUGGUAGGGGAGACUGGAAUUCCUGGUGUAGCGGUGAAAUGCGCAGAUAUCAGGAGGAACACCGAUGGCGAAGGCAGGUCUCUGGGCCACUACUGACGCUGAGAAGCGAAAGCGUGGGGAGCGAACAGG